AAGGAUCAUUACAGAGAUCAUGCCCUCUACGGGUAGACCUCCCACCCUGUGUUAUUUACGAUUGUUGCUUUGGCAGGUCGCCUUCGGGCACUCGGCUCUGGCUGAGGCGUACCUGCCAAAGGACCCCCAACUCUGUGUUUAGUGUUGUCUGAGUCUUAUUUUAAUACGUUAAAACUUUCAACAACGGAUCUCUUGGUUCUGGCAUCGAUGAAGAACGCAGCGAAAUGCGAUAAGUAAUGUGAAUUGCAGAAUUCAGUGAAUCAUCGAAUCUUUGAACGCACAUUGCGCCCCUUGGUAUUCCGGGGGGCAUGCCUGUUCGAGCGUCAUUUCAACCCUCAAGCUUUGCUUGGUCUUGGGCACUGCCGGGAACGGCUUGCCUUAAAAGCAGUGGCGGUGCCAUUCGAGCUCUACGCGUAGUAAUUAACCCCUCGCGAUUGAGUCUUGAUGGAUGCUUGCCAGCAACCCUCAAUUUUUUUUGUGGUUGACCUCGGAUCAGGUAGGGAUACCCGCUGAACUUAA
Molecule: ribosomal RNA, 519 nt
Filed under: fungal sp. R27
Lineage: Eukaryota; Fungi
Description: eukaryotic LSU rRNA
Rfam family: 5.8S ribosomal RNA (bases 173-326)
Source: RNAcentral